Molecule: ribosomal RNA, 474 nt
Filed under: uncultured bacterium
Lineage: Bacteria
Description: bacterial SSU rRNA
Rfam family: Bacterial small subunit ribosomal RNA
Source: RNAcentral
GGACGAACGCUGGCGGCGUGCCUAACACAUGCAAGUCGAGCGAGGAGAUCCUUCGGGAUGAUCCUAGCGGCGGACGGGUGAGUAACACGUGGGCAACCUGCCUCAUAGAGAGGAAUAGCCUUCCGAAAGGGAGAUUAAUACCUCAUAACAUUGCAGUUUCGCAUGGAACAGCAAUUAAAGGAGUAAUCCGCUACGAGAUGGGCCCGCGGCGCAUUAGCUAGUUGGUGAGGUAACGGCUCACCAAGGCGACGAUGCGUAGCCGACCUGAGAGGGUGAUCGGCCACAUUGGGACUGAGACACGGCCCAGACUCCUACGGGAGGCAGCAGUGGGGAAUAUUGCACAAUGGGGGAAACCCUGAUGCAAGCAACGCCGCGUGAGUGAUGACGGCCUUCGGGUUGUAAAGCUCUGUCUUCAGGGACGAUAAUGACGGUACCUGAGGAGGAAGCCACGGCUAACUACGUGCCAGCAGCCGC